RNAcentral lists this ribosomal RNA (355 nucleotides) under uncultured bacterium. RNAcentral describes it as "bacterial SSU rRNA". It matches the Rfam family "Bacterial small subunit ribosomal RNA", at positions 43 to 381 of the family's 1533-position model. The record is from RNAcentral.
GGCGAAUUGACUAGUGAUUCAGGCCUAACACAUGCAAGUCGAGCGGUAGAGAGAAGCUUGCUUCUCUUAAAAAAGGCGGACGGGUGAGUAAUGCCUAGGAAUCUGCCUGGUAGUGGGGGAUAACGUUCGGAAACGGACGCUAAUACCGCAUACGUCCUACGGGAGAAAGCAGGGGACCUUCGGGCCUUGCGCUAUCAGAUGAGCCUAGGUCGGAUUAGCUAGUUGGUGAGGUAAUGGCUCACCAAGGCUACGAUCCGUAACUGGUCUGAGAGGAUGAUCAGUCACACUGGAAGGGAGACACGGUCCAGACUCCUACGGGAGGCAGCAGUGGGGAAUAUUGGACAAUGGGCGAAAG